Molecule: unclassified non-coding RNA, 426 nt
Filed under: fungal sp.
Lineage: Eukaryota; Fungi
Description: partial internal transcribed spacer region
Rfam family: Eukaryotic small subunit ribosomal RNA (bases 1-46)
Source: RNAcentral
AAGUCGUAACAAGGUUUCCGUAGGUGAACCUGCGGAAGGAUCAUUAACACGUGAAAAUACUAAUCACGUAUUAACAACCCACCGAGAAUUUUUGUUUUUUUAUUGAAUCCUAUUGUUAGAUGCAGGUAGACGAAGUGAGGGAAUGCUAUGGGCCGCCCGUUCGAAAGAUGUGAGAGUACGCCCUAACUCAUUAGUUGUUCCAUGGUCCGCCCAGGAGCUUGCACUGACAAAUAGUUGACGAGUAGCGACUGCUUAUUAAGCCUGUAGCAUAGCUUGCAGAUCGUUAUGAACCUUAUUAACCCCUUUUACUAUUAUUUAUUGAUUUGUACGUUUGUAUGAAUUCCUGACUUUUGUCGGUUGUAGUUUGUAUAAAUGUCGUAUAUUACUAAUACGAAACAACUCUUAGCAACGGAUAUCUUGGUUCUC